AUACGAAGGGGGCUAGCGUUGCUCGGAAUUACUGGGCGUAAAGGGCGCGUAGGCGGAUCGUUUAAGUCAGAGGUGAAAUCCCAGGGCUCAACCCUGGAACUGCCUUUGAUACUGGCGAUCUUGAGUAUGAGAGAGGUAUGUGGAACUCCGAGUGUAGAGGUGAAAUUCGUAGAUAUUCGGAAGAACACCAGUGGCGAAGGCGACAUACUGGCUCAUUACUGACGCUGAGGCGCGAAAGCGUGGGGAGC
This 248-nucleotide ribosomal RNA is filed under the name uncultured bacterium. Its description in RNAcentral is "partial 16S ribosomal RNA". It matches the Rfam family "Bacterial small subunit ribosomal RNA", at positions 523 to 769 of the family's 1533-position model. The record is from RNAcentral.